UGUAGAUUUGAGGGAAAGAUUAAAAACAAGGAGGUCUGGGAAUGACUGAAGGGAACUGACAGCAGUGAGGGAAGGAAGUUAUCACCAGAAUCUCAGAGAAGGAUGUUGACAGUGCAGGUCCAGGAUGAAGAAGAGGAGGAAGAACACGUUUAACAAUUUUCUCAUAAGCUUGCCAUGUGUUAUAAUAAAAACAAUGAACAUGGCUACAAUAAUAAUAUGCUAAAUGUUAUUAAAAGAUUGCAGUUUGCAAGAAGUCUGAGUGUCUGACUCUACACUAGAGGAACUCUUUUCUGAAGAAGAUCAGGUGCUGAGAAGAAGCCUUGUUCUACAGCACAACACUGCAAGCCUCCUGUCCUUCCCUCAGAAGAGCCUGUCUUCUGCUGCUGGGGUAAGAAACACCCUCUUCCUCUUCUCUAUCAGCUGUCCAGCACCUAACUCUGCCUCCUCAGCACUGUCUGAAAGAGUCUUCUCCACAGUCAGUAAUCACAGAUCACAGAUUCUUCUGAGAAAGUCGAUAUGCUCAUUUUCUUAAAAAAAAAUAGUUUUUUCGGGUGGGACAAAUAAUACAGGAGAGAUGCUAGAAAUCUCUAUAUUGUUCAUUUUUCAUAUCUUUACGCUUUAUGAAUGUUUUUCUUCUGAGAAGCUCAAAAAUUAUGGUUCUUUGGUAAUUGCUUUAUUGUUUAGUUUUAUCCUCUGAUAGUGAGCACAGAGCCCUGAUCAUGACAUGCAAGAAAAAGAAAGAAAUCAUGUCCAUGAUUUACUAAUUCGUUCCCUCUAUGUACUAAACGUGCACGAUUACUUUUACAUUUCAUUGAUUUGCUAAAUCGUAUGCACAAUUUACUAAUUCGUUCUCUUGAUGUAUAAAUAGUGUACACGUUUUAGCAAAUCGAGGGAAUGAAAUAGAAAAUCGUGCGCAUGAAUUAGCCUAAAUUUUUUCCUGCAUGUCGUGUAAUUAAAGCACAUCACCAUCAGACAUUUAUACCAGGAGCCUCAUAUAUGACGCUCACAGUUUUACUUUGUGCAGUAUCUCGGUGCAGUAUCUGCUGAAUUGUUUCAUAUCUAUUUAUCAUGUAUUUUUUGUUGCACUAAAUUAUGUUGUAUCAAUAAGUUUACUGAUAAUUAUUUUUAAUUUUUACUAAUAACGUCAUUAACCAUCUCCCCAUCUUUAAGACAAAAAUUUUCUAUUGUUUAUAUUGUGUAAUCUAUGAAUUGAUGUGUUUAGUUUUCUGUGCUCAUAACUUAGUAACAUUUUGCAUGUUUAAAGAACAGGUGCGAUGUUCAAAAUGUUUUGGCUUCGUAUUUGUACAAAGUAGUGCUGAAUAAAUAUUGAUUUGUGAAUGAAA
Long non-coding RNA from Carassius gibelio (silver crucian carp), 1343 nucleotides. RefSeq lists it as uncharacterized. The record is from RefSeq and is a predicted model, not a curated record. NCBI's taxonomy places the organism in Eukaryota, Metazoa, Chordata, Actinopteri, Cypriniformes, Cyprinidae. The transcript is spliced from 2 exons.